CAGUAGCCACGGGAAUACGAGGGGGGCAAGCGUCGUUCGGAAUUAUUGGGCGUAAAGGGCGCGUAGGCGGUUUGACAAGUUUGGUGUGAAAUCUAUGGGCUCAACCCAUAGCCUGCAUCGAAAACUGUCGGGCUUGAGUAUGGGAGAGGUGAGUGGAAUUUCCGGUGUAGCGGUGAAAUGCGUAGAUAUCGGAAGGAACACCUGCGGCGAAAGCGGCUCACUGGACCAUUACUGACGCUGAGGCGCGAAAGCUAGGGGAGCAAACAGGAUUAGAGACCCCCGUAGUCCCUGUCUCUUAUAC
This 301-nucleotide ribosomal RNA is filed under the name uncultured bacterium. RNAcentral's name for it is "partial 16S ribosomal RNA". It matches the Rfam family "Bacterial small subunit ribosomal RNA", at positions 509 to 807 of the family's 1533-position model. The record is from RNAcentral.